GCGUCUGUAGCCUAGUUGGUAAAGGCAGCACUCUAGAAUGUGUCUCAGCAUAGCUGAGGUCGUGAGUUCGACUCUCACCAGACACA
This 86-nucleotide transfer RNA is filed under the name Puccinia triticina. RNAcentral describes it as "tRNA-Ser". It matches the Rfam family "tRNA". From Rfam's summary of the family: Transfer RNA (tRNA) molecules are approximately 80 nucleotides in length. Their secondary structure includes four short double-helical elements and three loops (D, anti-codon, and T loops). Further hydrogen bonds mediate the characteristic L-shaped molecular structure. tRNAs have two regions of fundamental functional importance: the anti-codon, which is responsible for specific mRNA codon recognition, and the 3' end, to which the tRNAs corresponding amino acid is attached (by aminoacyl-tRNA synthetases). tRNAs cope with the degeneracy of the genetic code in two manners: having more than one tRNA (with a specific anti-codon) for a particular amino acid; and 'wobble' base-pairing, i.e. permitting non-standard base-pairing at the 3rd anti-codon position. The record is from RNAcentral. Lineage: Eukaryota; Fungi; Basidiomycota; Pucciniomycetes; Pucciniales; Pucciniaceae.